GGAAGUAAAAGUCGUAACAGGGUUUCCGUAGGUGGACCUGCGGAAGGAUCAUUAUUGUAUAACCGAGGUGCGAGGGCUGUCGCUGACCCGAAAGGUCGUGCACGCCCGAGUGCCCUCACACACAUCCAUCUCACCCCUAUGUGCACCACCGCGUGGGUCCCCCUUUGGCUUGUUCGGAGGGGGGCUUACGUUUUCACACAAACUUUGUAUGCAGUGUAGAAUGUAUUUUUUGUUUUUGCGAUCACGCAAUCAAUACAACUUUCAACAACGGAUCUCUUGGCUCUC
This 285-nucleotide unclassified non-coding RNA is filed under the name plant metagenome. RNAcentral's name for it is "partial contains small subunit ribosomal RNA, internal transcribed spacer 1, and 5.8S ribosomal RNA". The stretch from base 1 to 54 matches the Rfam family "Eukaryotic small subunit ribosomal RNA", at positions 1778 to 1831 of the family's 1831-position model. The record is from RNAcentral.